This 492-nucleotide ribosomal RNA is filed under the name uncultured bacterium. RNAcentral describes it as "partial 16S ribosomal RNA". It matches the Rfam family "Bacterial small subunit ribosomal RNA", at positions 29 to 507 of the family's 1533-position model. The record is from RNAcentral.
AGUGAACGCUGGCGGUAGGCCUAACACAUGCAAGUCGAACGGCAGCACAGUAAGAGCUUGUUCUUACGGGUGGCGAGUGGCGGACGGGUGAGGAAUACAUCGGAAUCUACUUUUUCGUGGGGGAUAACGUAGGGAAACUUACGCUAAUACCGCAUACGACCUACGGGUGAAAGCAGGGGAUCUUCGGACCUUGCGCGAUUGAAUGAGCCGAUGUCGGAUUAGCUAGUUGGCGGGGUAAAGGCCCACCAAGGCGACGAUCCGUAGCUGGUCUGAGAGGAUGAUCAGCCACACUGGAACUGAGACACGGUCCAGACUCCUACGGGAGGCAGCAGUGGGGAAUAUUGGACAAUGGGCGCAGGCCUGAUCCAGCCAUACCGCGUGGGUGAAGAAGGCCUUCGGGUUGUAAAGCCCUUUUGUUGGGAAAGAAAAGCAGCAGGUUAAUACCCCGCUGUUCUGACGGUACCCAAAGAAUAAGCACCGGCUAACUUCGUG